UUGAAACGCCUGUUCUUAUACGAUCAUCGACGUUAAGCAACGUUCAGCCUGAUCAGUAUUUUGAUGGAUGACCGCCUGGGAAUGUCAGGUGUU
This is a non-coding RNA of Acanthosepion pharaonis, 93 nucleotides long. Lineage: Eukaryota; Metazoa; Mollusca; Cephalopoda; Sepiida; Sepiidae. The record is from the annotation of a GenBank genome assembly.